Molecule: transfer RNA, 55 nt
Filed under: Marmota marmota marmota (Alpine marmot)
Lineage: Eukaryota; Metazoa; Chordata; Mammalia; Rodentia; Sciuridae
Also listed under: 2 other names
Rfam family: tRNA
About the family: Transfer RNA (tRNA) molecules are approximately 80 nucleotides in length. Their secondary structure includes four short double-helical elements and three loops (D, anti-codon, and T loops).
Source: Rfam by way of RNAcentral
GCUCAGUGGUACAGCACUUGCCUGGCAUGCAUGAUGAUCUGGGUUUGAUCCCCAG